RNAcentral lists this ribosomal RNA (458 nucleotides) under Theileria annulata. RNAcentral's name for it is "SSU rRNA". It matches the Rfam family "Eukaryotic small subunit ribosomal RNA", at positions 486 to 984 of the family's 1831-position model. Lineage: Eukaryota; Apicomplexa; Aconoidasida; Piroplasmida; Theileriidae. The record is from RNAcentral.
CGGGGCUUAAAGUCUUGUAAUUGGAAUGAUGGGAAUUUAAACCUCUUCCAGAGUAUCAAUUGGAGGGCAAGUCUGGUGCCAGCAGCCGCGGUAAUUCCAGCUCCAAUAGCGUAUAUUAAAAUUGUUGCAGUUAAAAAGCUCGUAGUUGAAUUUCUGCUGCAUUGCUUGUGUCCCUCUGGGGUCUGUGCAUGUGGCUUUUUUCGGACGGAGUUUCUUUGUCUGAAUGUUUACUUUGAGAAAAUUAGAGUGCUCAAAGCAGGCUUUCGCCUUGAAUAGUUUAGCAUGGAAUAAUAAAGUAGGACUUUGGUUCUAUUUUGUUGGUUUUAGGUACCAAAGUAAUGGUAAAUAGGAACAGUUGGGGGCAUUCGUAUUUAACUGUCAGAGGUGAAAUUCUUAGAUUUGUUAAAGACGAACUACUGCGAAAGCAUUUGCCAAGGAUGUUUUCAUUAAUCAAGAAC